This 1188-nucleotide ribosomal RNA is filed under the name Triticum aestivum (bread wheat). RNAcentral describes it as "partial small subunit ribosomal RNA". Lineage: Eukaryota; Viridiplantae; Streptophyta; Magnoliopsida; Poales; Poaceae. The record is from RNAcentral.
AUGCCGAGAAUGAAGGUCCCAAAGCCAGCUGAUGCAAUCAACGUGAAUCAAGCAAACAAGGGCCUGAUACUCUCCAUGUUCUAUUAUGGUUAUGUUCUGUCGCAAAUUCCUGGUGGAUGGGCAGCUCAGAGAUUGGGAGGGAGGCGUGUUCUGCUCCUGUCAUUUCUGUUGUGGUCUUUGAUAUGCGGUCUAAUUCCACUGGACCCCAACAGAGUAGUCAUUCUGGUCCUUUCUCGCCUUUUUGUUGGUGUGGCACAAGGUUUCAUAUUUCCUGCCAUUCACACAGUCCUGGCACAAUGGGUGCCACCGCAGGAGCGCUCUCGCUCAGUGUCGUUGACAACCUCAGGGAUGUACCUCGGGGCAGCUUGUGGCAUGCUGUUCUUCCCAAGUCUGGUGAAGCACAUGGGACCCCAAUCUGUAUGUUUAGUCGAAGCAGUACUUGGAGUAGCAUGGUCUGUAAUAUGGUUGAAGUUCUCCAGUGAGCCACCUCGCACUGACCUUCCAAAAGUGGCAGUGCCAAAAGUAGCAUCUCGGGAGAAGAUUAAGGCGCAGUCAACAGGGGUUGUUGCACCUCGCACUGUAAAGAUACCAUGGCGAAGAAUUAUCUUCAGUCUACCUGUUUGGGCAAUUGUCGUGAACAACUUCACCUUCCACUAUGCCUUGUAUGUUAUCAUGAACUGGCUGCCUACCUAUUUCGAACUAGCCCUUAAGCUCAGCCUCCAGGAUAUGGGAUCGUCAAAGAUGCUACCCUAUUUCAACAUGUUUAUAUUCUCCAAUUGGUGGAGUGUUACCAAGACAAGGAAACUCCUUAACACCAUUGGGUUUGUUGUCUCGGCUGUUGCACUUAUGGCUCUUCCUUCCUUCGGUACGCCCUCAGGGACUGUGAUCUGUUCAUCUGUAUCCCUUGGUUUUCUGGCUCUAGGAAGAGCAGGGUUUGCGGUGAAUCACAUGGAUGUUGCUCCAAAGUUCGCCGGCAUAGUGAUGGGGGUUUCAAAUACAGCUGGGACCUUGGCUGGGAUAGUUGGCGUUGGCCUCACAGGAAAUAUUCUGGAGGCUGCAAAGGCCUCUAACAUGGAUCUAACAAACUCUGAAACCUGGAGAACAGUCUUCUUUGUUCCAUCAUACCUCUGUAUUUUUAGUUCAGUCAUUUUCUUGAUCUUCUCAACUGGUGAGAAGAUUUUCGAAUAG